CACAGCCAGAAACAGAAGUCCGAAAGGAAAGAAAAGCCACUGGAGAGCAGAUUGAGGAAAACAGGUGGCCACGGGGCCAGGGGCACGCUUCUUCCAGUUCUCCAAGUUGGUAAUUUUUCUUUUCUACCUUAAAUAUCACUGUCACCAAGCUGGGCACCUCAAACUCCUAACUGCUUCACACUCCCAGGUACCCCAAAGUCAAGGCCCAUGUUAGAAGACCAUAUGUGGACCCGGUGACCCGGGGCUCGCCAGGCCCAUGCCAACCACAUAGAUCAUGCUGGACCAUACCAUGUCCAGGACCAUGGGAUGGCUGGUUGGAGAAUGGGCCCUGGAACCCACACGCAAGCACAGCUUGGCUGGUUUCUUACUGAGACUGUGGAGGCUGCUGGCCCCCUCACCUCCAGGGAGAAGACUCAGGAAAGGAUGUAGACACUGUAGGAGUUGUAGGUGACUGGGCAUGGCUGUGUCUUUAGCAUCUUUCUGGGGCAAUUGGUAAAAGAAAUGUAUAUUGCCCAUUGAUGCAGAGACCUCCUCUGUGUUGGAUGCUGGGCGUACAAACACAGAUAAGCCUCAGCCCCUGCCCUCAAGGUGUUCACAGUCACAAGGGGGAAGCACAUGAACAAUCAGACCAUCAAUACAGGGUGAUCUGUUCAGCAACUGAGGGGUUUAUGCAGCUCUGGGGGAGGCCUGGCCUCCAGGAGAUGCUCCUCCCUGAGGCUGGCCCUUCCAUCCCGCAGCCACACCAGAUUCCCCAACUCCUCCCCUCUGUCCUGUGUAAGAUUCCCUGAGCCUGCAAAGGUAUCAAUUAGCUAGUCAGCUUUCUAACUAAUGCAACAGUGCAAGUGCUAAUGAGAGAGGAUCUGAGGAGUUCCUUCCUUCUUGCUGAUGUGCCAGUGGGACACGAAAAUACACCCCCACCCACCCCACCAUGCCAAGGUCAUGGAGAGGACCUAGGUGAGCCUCCCACACCUGGCUCACCAUCCCUGCCCAGGGGACAUCCAGCCAUGCCCACACGGAUCUUUGAAGAAAAAUGCUUCCUCUCUGCUCGUGGUGACUCUACUGCUGGGAAUUUCCUUUAACAGAAGAGGAAGAAAGCAGGGGUGGUUGGGGGGAUGGCGAGAGGGACUCUGACAUACGCCCUCCUGUCUGCAUAUAGCUUUGCUGCUUGUGGCUGCCAACACUUUCCUGUUUGUCUGUCUGCCUGCUGCUCCUCAUCCUAGUGAGGACCAAGGCGUCCUCCCCCACGGUAGCCGUCUCUGUCCCAGGCCUGGAAGAGCAUCCAUUGUGCCUCACUUUAUUUCCUGUCCCCAUUACCCUGCCUCUGGCUGCCUCUCCUCUCUAUUGUGGGCUCAGCACACAAAGCUCUUGUGGCUGCCGGCGGGGUGGGGUGAAGGGAAGAACUGCUGGUGGAGGAGAGUGGAUCUAGCUGCCAAGGCCUGGGGAGCACACUCAGGCAACCCUUCCCCUUCCCCCACUUUUAUCUCAGGAGUCAGCUGCCUGCCCACCAAGUCCUCAUCACUCUCUCUGUCUUACUUACCUCCAACAGGGGAUGAACGUAGGGCACUUAGCUUCUUCCACCAGAAGGGCCUCCAGGAUUUUGACACUCUGCUCCUGAGUGGUGAUGGAAAUACUCUCUACGUGGGGGCUCGAGAAGCCAUUCUGGCCUUGGAUAUCCAGGAUCCAGGGGUCCCCAGGCUAAAGAACAUGAUACCGUGGCCAGCCAGUGACAGAAAAAAGAGUGAAUGUGCCUUUAAGAAGAAGAGCAAUGAGACACAGUGUUUCAACUUCAUCCGUGUCCUGGUUUCUUACAAUGUCACCCAUCUCUACACCUGCGGCACCUUCGCCUUCAGCCCUGCUUGUACCUUCAUUGUGAGUUCUCUGGUGCCCAGCGCUCAGGCCCCCAAGCAUCCCUUCUCACAUCUACCCCCGGCUUUCCUCUGUAGCUCUGGAAAACUCUGGCCUACCAGAUGCAGGACCCUCAUGAACUUCCUGGCCCCAGACCAAUUUCCCUCUGUGUCCCUUUCCCUUCCUUCCUCAAGCCCCUCAUUUCCCAGAUGUGAGACCUUGGCGUUCUGGUCCCCCAGCCUCUCUCCCCAUUUAGGAACUUCAAGAUUCCUACCUGUUGCCCAUCUCGGAGGACAAGGUCAUGGAGGGAAAAGGCCAAAGCCCCUUUGACCCCGCUCACAAGCAUACGGCUGUCUUGGUGGGUGAGUAUCAGGUUUCCCACUUCAUCCCAACAUCUGCUUUCUCCAGUCACGCUGUGAAAUAUGGAAUAUUACAGAGUUUUCCAAAAGGCAGGGGAAGCUGGGUGUAGUGAUGCAUGCAUAUGGUCCCAGUUAUUUGGAAGCUGAGGUUGAAGGAUGCUUGAGUUUAGGGGUUUGAGUCUAGCCUGGGCAACACAGCGAGAUCAUCUC
This 2414-nucleotide small RNA is filed under the name Pongo abelii (Sumatran orangutan). RNAcentral describes it as "retained intron". The record is from RNAcentral. Lineage: Eukaryota; Metazoa; Chordata; Mammalia; Primates; Hominidae.